This 253-nucleotide ribosomal RNA is filed under the name uncultured bacterium. Its description in RNAcentral is "partial 16S ribosomal RNA". It matches the Rfam family "Bacterial small subunit ribosomal RNA", at positions 524 to 776 of the family's 1533-position model. The record is from RNAcentral.
UACGUAGGGGGCAAGCGUUGUCCGGAUUUACUGGGCGUAAAGAGCGUGUAGGCGGCCACGCAGGUCCGUUGUGAAAACUGGAGGCUCAACCUCCAGCUGUCGACGGAAACCGUGUGGCUAGAGUCCGGAAGAGGAGAGUGGAAUUCCUGGUGUAGCGGUGGAAUGCGCAGAUAUCAGGAAGAACACCCGUGGCGAAGGCGGCUCUCUGGGACGGUACUGACGCUGAGACGCGAAAGCGUGGGGAGCAAACAGG